UGAGCGAAAUAGACGAUGUUUUGGGAGAGAUCCUAUAUACUCGGACUUGAAAAAAACGGACAUUAAACGUUGCAGCAAACGAAGCAUUGGUGUGGACAAAACGGGAAAGGGAUCCCUGAUUGUAUUUUAAAACUUGUGCGCGAAGUGUAUCCAAAUCCCCCGAACAAAAAAUACAUGGGACAAGUGUGGAUCUAAUGAGCAAACUCAGUUUUCUGUGUGAAAAUUCUGUGAAAGAAAAGGAAAUCCAUUAUUAAAGUUGUCUUGGAUAUGUGUUUUGGAGUUUUCGUUUAUCAGCUAUGGCUGCUUACCUGCAAUGCCUUGCAGCCGCAACAACAAACGGAUGUGGAGAUGAAAGUCCCUCAGCUCUUUUAACAACAGGCACAGCUGACCUCGUUGAUACCAAGUGUGGUUCCGGUGCAGGCCAAGUGCUCGCGACGACCUCCCUUGUGCUGUCUCUCCUUGCUGCAACACUGAUGUAGACGAUGCUAGCUCGAUCCGGACCUUGACAUACCCCUCCGACAGAUUUCUUUGAUUUAGUGUAGUUUAGUGUUCCGUGC
Molecule: long non-coding RNA, 557 nt
Organism: Haliotis rufescens (red abalone)
Lineage: Eukaryota; Metazoa; Mollusca; Gastropoda; Lepetellida; Haliotidae
Exons: 3
Source: RefSeq, a predicted model, not a curated record